CAGGACGACGCUGGCGGCGUGCCUAAUACAUGCAAGUCGAACGGUCUUUCUAUGGAAGCUUGCUCCACUGAGAAGAUAGUGGCGAACGGGUGAGUAACACGUGGGUAACCUGCCCAUAAGAGGGGGGAUAACAUCCGGAAACGGGUGCUAAUACCGCAUAGUUUUCUUGAUCGCAUGAUCGGGAAAGGAAAGACGGCCUUUGUGCUGUCGCUUAUGGAUGGACCCGCGGCGUAUUAGUUAGUUGGUGAGGUAACGGCUCACCAAGACGAUGAUACGUAGCCGACCUGAGAGGGUGAUCGGCCACAUUGGGACUGAGACACGGCCCAAACUCCUACGGGAGGCAGCAGUAGGGAAUCUUCCGCAAUGGACGAAAGUCUGACGGAGCAACGCCGCGUGAGUGAAGAAAGGUUUUCGGAUCGUAAAACUCUGUUGUCAGAGAAGAACAAGUUGGAGAGUAACUGCUCCAGCCUUGACGGUAUCUGACCAGAAAGCCACGGCUAACUACGUGCCAGCAGCCGC
RNAcentral lists this ribosomal RNA (519 nucleotides) under uncultured bacterium. RNAcentral's name for it is "bacterial SSU rRNA". It matches the Rfam family "Bacterial small subunit ribosomal RNA", at positions 25 to 518 of the family's 1533-position model. The record is from RNAcentral.